GACGCGGAGACAACGCUGGCGGCAGGCUACACAUGCAGUCGAGCGCGCCUUCGGGUGAGCGGCGGACGGGUUAGUAACGCGUGGGAACGUGCCCUUCUCUACGGAAUAGCCUCUGGAAACGGAGAGUAAUACCGUAUACGCCCUUUGGGGGAAAGAUUUAUCGGAGAAGGAUCGGCCCGCGUUAGAUUAGGUAGUUGGUGGGGUAACGGCCUACCAAGCCUACGAUCUAUAGCUGGUUUUAGAGGAUGAUCAGCAACACUGGGACUGAGACACGGCCCAGACUCCUACGGGAGGCAGCAGUGGGGAAUCUUAGACAAUGGGGGCAACCCUGAUCUAGCCAUGCCGCGUGAGUGAUGAAGGCCUUAGGGUCGUAAAGCUCUUUCGCCUGUGAUGAUCAUGACAGUAGCAGGUAAAGAAACCCCGGCUAACUCCGUGCCAGCAGCCGCGGUAAUACGGAGGGGGUUAGCGUUGUUCGGAAUUACUGGGCGUAAAGCGCGCGUAGGCGGAUUAGAAAGUUGGGGGUGAAAUCCCGGGGCUCAACCCCGGAACUGCCUCCAAAACUGCUAGUCUAGAGUUCGAGAGAGGUGAGUGGAAUUCCGAGUGUAGAGGUGAAAUUCGUAGAUAUUCGGAGGAACACCAGUGGCGAAGGCGGCUCACUGGCUCGAUACUGACGCUGAGGUGCGAAAGUGUGGGGAGCAAACAGGGAUAGAUACCCUGGGUAGUCCACACGGUAAACGAAUGAUCGCCGUCCUCGGGAUAAGAUCACAAUCCGGGGAAAACCUUAACGGAUUAAGCUUCCGCCUGGG
This 806-nucleotide ribosomal RNA is filed under the name uncultured Alphaproteobacteria bacterium. RNAcentral describes it as "bacterial SSU rRNA". It matches the Rfam family "Bacterial small subunit ribosomal RNA", at positions 21 to 877 of the family's 1533-position model. The record is from RNAcentral. Lineage: Bacteria; Pseudomonadati; Pseudomonadota; Alphaproteobacteria.